AGCGUGGGGAGCGAACAGGAUUAGAUACCCUGGUAGUCCACGCCGUAAACGAUGAGUGCUAAGUGUUAGAGGGUUUCCGCCCUUUAGUGCUGCAGCAAACGCAUUAAGCACUCCGCCUGGGGAGUACGGUCGCAAGACUGAAACUCAAAGGAAUUGACGGGGGCCCGCACNGCGGUGGAGCAUGUGGUUUAAUUCGAAGCAACGCGAAGAACCUUACCAGGUCUUGACAUCCUCUGACAACCCUAGAGAUAGGGCUUCCCCUUCGGGGGCAGAGUGACAGGUGGUGCAUGGUUGUCGUCAGCUCGUGUCGUGAGAUGUUGGGUUAAGUCCCGCAACGAGCGCAACCCUUGAUCUUAGUUGCCAGCAUUCAGUUGGGCACUCUAAGGUGACUGCCGGUGACAAACCGGAGGAAGGUGGGGAUGACGUCAAAUCAUCAUGCCCCUUAUGACCUGGGCUACACACGUGCUACAAUGGGCAGAACAAAGGGCAGCGAAGCCGCGAGGCUAAGCCAAUCCCACAAAUCUGUUCUCAGUUCGGAUCGCAGUCUGCAACUCGACUGCGUGAAGCUGGAAUCGCUAGUAAUCGCGGAUCAGCAUGCCGCGGUGAAUACGUUCCCGGGCCUUGUACACACCGCCCGUCACACCACGAGAGUUUGUAACACCCGAAGUCGGUGAGGUA
RNAcentral lists this ribosomal RNA (678 nucleotides) under Bacillus sp. (in: firmicutes). Its description in RNAcentral is "bacterial SSU rRNA". It matches the Rfam family "Bacterial small subunit ribosomal RNA", at positions 758 to 1437 of the family's 1533-position model. Lineage: Bacteria; Bacillati; Bacillota; Bacilli; Caryophanales; Bacillaceae. The record is from RNAcentral.